RNAcentral lists this ribosomal RNA (253 nucleotides) under uncultured bacterium. RNAcentral's name for it is "partial 16S ribosomal RNA". It matches the Rfam family "Bacterial small subunit ribosomal RNA", at positions 524 to 776 of the family's 1533-position model. The record is from RNAcentral.
UACGAAGGGGGCUAGCGUUGCUCGGAAUUAUUUGGCGUAAAGCGCGCGCAGGCGGUCCUUUAAGUCUGAUGUGAAAGCCCACGGCUCAACCGUGGAGGGUCAUUGGAAACUGGAGGACUUGAGUACAGAAGAGGAAAGCGGAAUUCCACGUGUAGCGGUGAAAUGCGUAGAGAUGUGGAGGAACACCAGUGGCGAAGGCGGCUUUCUGGUCUGUAACUGACGCUGAGGCGCGAAAGCGUGGGGAGCAAACAGG